RNAcentral lists this ribosomal RNA (254 nucleotides) under uncultured bacterium. RNAcentral describes it as "partial 16S ribosomal RNA". It matches the Rfam family "Bacterial small subunit ribosomal RNA", at positions 524 to 776 of the family's 1533-position model. The record is from RNAcentral.
UACGUAGGGGCCAAGCGUUGUCCGGAUUUAUUGGGCGUAAAGAGCUCGUAGGCGGUUCGGCAAGUCAGCUGUGAAAUCUCCACGCUCAACGUGGAGGGGUCAGCUGAUACUGCUGUGACUCGAGUCCGGUAGGGGAGUGUGGAAUUCCCGGUGUAGCGGUGAAAUGCGCAGAUAUCAGGAGGAACACCGGUGGCGAAGGCGGUUCUCUGGGCCUUACCUGACACUGAGGAGCGAAAGCGUGGGGAGCGAACAGG